Pelobates cultripes (western spadefoot toad) is the source of this 779-nucleotide non-coding RNA. Lineage: Eukaryota; Metazoa; Chordata; Amphibia; Anura; Pelobatidae. The record is from the annotation of a GenBank genome assembly.
CUCAGCAGCAAGAAAAACUUUAUUUUAGAGAAACAAUCAACCAUGUAAAUAUGCCCCAAAGGGCUAGUCCUACAAUAAUACAACCAAUCAGCAUGCCUUCAGCACUCUCAACUCCCCAUGUGACCUUAAGCCACUCCUCUUUCUUGGUGUUGUCGACAAAAAAUCCAUAGUAAACACAUCAACAUGAAGGAAAAAAAAGCAAAAAGUCCAGGACCGCCACAGUGAAAAAAUCCAGUAUUCUCUAUAAGCUGUGAUCUUCCCGUAGGUCCUGAAGGAAAUCCAUGCACAACGGUGCCAAACCGGAUCAUGAAGCUGAAAGGAACAGAGAAACAAACUGGUAAAAUAUGUUUCUGGACUUUUGAACAGAAUUAGACAUCGGAAUAUAUGCCACCAAAACCCAGAUUAUCCUCUAACCAAAACCUGUCAAUACCUGUAUUAUGUUGUAGUAAUCUGAACUCGUAACAAACUUAUUGACCACUUAGCUAUGGGAGGGCACCACUUACCUGCAUCGGGUGGGAUAAUACUCGCCUCCGUGUCCUUAAUAAAAUCAUGACUUUACGUCAUGAAAUUAGUAAAAUCUGGUAAUUUUAUUUAAGGACACGGAGGCUCAUAUUAUGCUAGUUCAAAGCUGUGACACGACCACCUCUGAAAAAUGAGAAACUGGCCGAAAAUAAAAUUCCUUGAAGGUAGAUUCGCGGGACCAAUCAGCCGCCCGGAGUAGGUCCUCCAACCUGCAGCCUUUGGAGAAUGCCUUAGUCGCCAUGGCUCCCCUGACCGAG